RNAcentral lists this long non-coding RNA (1109 nucleotides) under Caenorhabditis briggsae. RNAcentral describes it as "lncRNA CBG31069". The record is from RNAcentral. Lineage: Eukaryota; Metazoa; Nematoda; Chromadorea; Rhabditida; Rhabditidae.
UGAAUAAAGACUUUAAUUAUAACCACUCUCUACCCUUCCUGUGUCUCCUAUGAUGUCUGGACCACGGGACACAACAGAUGUUGUGUGUCCAUUGGAAUAGUAAGGUCCCACGAUUGAAAGGCUAGACAGGUGUUCGAAAGCUCCGCCCACCCACCGGACCCUCUCUAUAUAGGAAAUCUAGACUUUGGCUAGAGACAUGGCUCGAUACAUGACCGGUCGAUUGCUGGUCUCUUGUUUUAUUGAUUUUUCUGAAUAUCUCGAUGGAUUGAAGGACCCCCAAGGGACCGCCCAUAUUCUCAGAAAUGGCUUUCAUCAACACUGAGCUUGAGAUGAAACUUGAAAAAGCCAAGCUAAAGGGAACAGAUGUAAGUUUGAAGGACCACUAGAUCCCGAAGUAACCUGAUGCCCUGUUCCGGCUCGACAAGGAUUUGAUGGAAGCCUGAUUGAAGUCCAAGCUGGUGUAAAAUUCCUGUCCUCCACAUAGAUAUCAACUCGGACACCAUAGGGUUGGUCGUUGCACAGAAUGCUCGAGACAAUCAGACGAGGAUGGUGAUUCGGAUCGAAAUCCUGAGGAAGACUCCUUCUUCCAACUCGAUCUGAUGCUCAAAUGAACCUUUAUACUCGCCAGUGAUUCCAUCUGGUGGCUUAUCUUCCUCAUUCUUUCACUAUUCUCGUUUUUCUACUCGCAUUUCCAUCUCAAUGGAUCGAAGACCUUAUUUUCCAAUUCUCGGUAACUUGGUGUUUAGAGAAAUUAUCUCAAACAUCGCUCCGAUUGACCUCGUAUCGUUGGCUAGCUCUUCUAAACGCUGUCAACGAAUCAUAAAAUCCAGCAAGUCGGUUUUCAAGGAUGACCCUGCACAAUUGGAACUUACAAUUAGUUUUAAAGAAUUUUCGGAGGAGGACGAUGAAUCUGAAGAUUCUACAAAAAAGCGAUUUCAGCCAUGUCUGAUAAUCGGUCAUCACUGAGAACGGCGGAGCAAUGAUAGAACGUGACGACGGAGUCAACCUGGUCGCAUGGCUAUUCGUCAGUCCGAAUUAUCUGUCUUGGACAACCCCAAGCAAGCAGCAAUAAUUGUUUUGGUUUUUCCGCAAUGCAUAACAAUAAUAAA